GAUGAACGCUGGCGGCGUGCCUAAUACAUGCAAGUCGAGCGAACGGACGAGAAGCUUGCUUUUCUGAUGUUAGCGGCGGACGGGUGAGUAACACGUGGAUAACCUACCUAUAAGACUGGGAUAACUUCGGGAAACCGGAGCUAAUACCGGAUAAUAUUUUGAACCGCAUGGUUCAAAAGUGAAAGACGGUCUUGCUGUCACUUAUAGGUGGAUCCGCGCUGCAUUAGCUAGUUGGUAAGGUAACGGCUUACCAAGGCAACGAUGCAUAGCCGACCUGAGAGGGUGAUCGGCCACACUGGAACUGAGACACGGUCCAGACUCCUACGGGAGGCAGCAGUAGGGAAUCUUCCGCAAUGGGCGAAAGCCUGACGGAGCAACGCCGCGUGAGUGAUGAAGGUCUUCGGAUCGUAAAACUCUGUUAUUAGGGAAGAACAUAUGUGUAAGUAACUGUGCACAUCUUGACGGUACCUAACCAGAAAGCCACGGCUAACUACGUG
Molecule: ribosomal RNA, 497 nt
Filed under: uncultured bacterium
Lineage: Bacteria
Description: partial 16S ribosomal RNA
Rfam family: Bacterial small subunit ribosomal RNA
Source: RNAcentral